Molecule: long non-coding RNA, 209 nt
Filed under: Elaeis guineensis (African oil palm)
Lineage: Eukaryota; Viridiplantae; Streptophyta; Magnoliopsida; Arecales; Arecaceae
Description: long non-coding RNA (EGUI_LNC038942)
Source: RNAcentral
CUGAAGCAGAUGAAGAGCCAAUUUUGUAUAAGUCCAAAUAACGAAAUCGGUAUGCUAAACCACAUAGGAUGCCAUAUAGUCAAGCAUAUUAUUUUCCUCUCUGAAGGUGUGUCUGAUAAGGCAUCAAAAGUAGGUCACAAUGAGUCUUUGAGCAUCAACCUACAAGGGAUGAUGGCCCUCCUGAAGUUCAGAUCCUAAAGAAAACUACG